Molecule: ribosomal RNA, 472 nt
Filed under: uncultured bacterium
Lineage: Bacteria
Description: bacterial SSU rRNA
Rfam family: Bacterial small subunit ribosomal RNA
Source: RNAcentral
CUACAGGACGAACGCUGGCGGCGUGCUUAACACAUGCAAGUCGAACGGUGACGAGGAGCUUGCUCCUCUGAUCAGUGGCGAACGGGUGAGUAACACGUGAGCAACCUGCCCCAGACUCUGGGAUAACAGUUGGAAACAGCUGCUAAUACCGGAUACGAGACGGAGAGGCAUCUCUACCGUCUGGAAAGUUUUUCGGUCUGGGAUGGACUCGCGGCCUAUCAGCUAGUUGGUGAGGUAAUGGCUCACCAAGGCGACGACGGGUAGCCGGCCUGAGAGGGCGACCGGCCACACUGGGACUGAGACACGGCCCAGACUCCUACGGGAGGCAGCAGUGGGGAAUAUUGCACAAUGGGCGAAAGCCUGAUGCAGCGACGCCGCGUGAGGGAUGAAGGCCUUCGGGUUGUAAACCUCUUUCAGCAGGGAAGAAGCGAAAGUGACGGUACCUGCAGAAGAAGCACCGGCUAACUACGUG